This 2865-nucleotide unclassified non-coding RNA is filed under the name Leishmania donovani. RNAcentral's name for it is "gene:LdHU3.33.4020(CDS-product:MRB1-associated_pr otein)". Lineage: Eukaryota; Euglenozoa; Kinetoplastea; Trypanosomatida; Trypanosomatidae. The record is from RNAcentral.
UCGCGCAUCAAGCGCAGGUGCUUCUCUCUCUCUCCGUCGUCACUCUUGCCACCGCGGACGCCUCAUAUCGUCCAGCCCAGCUGGGGAACCGUUCGUUCUCGCCUCUUUCGAUCCUUUGGAGCGGACAAGACCCCCCCCCUCCCACGCCCACACACGCACACACACGCAGACGCGGACGCGUCGGCACGUCUCCUUACUUGUCCCUGCCUGGCUGCACCUCUUCGCCGCAAAGCGAGAGCACACGAGAAGAGGUGUCGAGCAAUGCGGCGUGCGACUGCGUAUCGCCAGAUGCGGCAAGUGGCAGUGGUGCCAAGCACCACUGGCGCCUCUCCGGUCCUUAGCGCUGCUGUAGUCCGGUUGAUGUCGGCCGCUGCCGGCACCGCCAUCCACCGACAUACCGACCCACAUCGCCGUGCCUCCAGCAUGCGGCCUCAUAGUCCCUCCUUGGCGAGUGGGACGGCGACGUUGGUGCACAGUUGCCGCUGGCAAUCGUCGGCCACGCCACAGAAGGACUUCAGCCACAUCACCCAUGAUCUCGUGUGGGGUCUGUGGAAUGAGGGAAACCUCUUCUCUCUCUCCACGGCAGAGCUCACGUACUACUUGCAGCAACAGCAGCAGCGCGCUGGCGGCAGCAGCACGUUCGUGAUCGACCCUCAGGCGAAGAAAAGCACUCUUGUGCGCCAAGUGGAGGAGGUACUGUCAGCGGAGCAGGCAAGCAUCACGGUGCCGCAGGACGCUGGUGCGACAGUGACCAUGACCGGCUCCGACCGUGUCGAGGAAACGCUCGACGAGGCGGACGAGUACGGUGACUGGGGGGCCGAGCCCGGCUUUGAGGAGCGGCGCCACAUUGACUACAUGGAGUUCAACCCGCUGCGCAUGGGCGAACGGUACGAGCCGCUUGUGCCGCGCGCCUACCAGCUACUUCACAGCGACCUCUCCGCCGAUGUCGGUCUGACAGCGUUGGACCCGUCCAAGUUUCCUGGGCAAAGCAAGAACAAAAUUGCCUACCUUGUCUCAAAAGUGAAUGUGGACAAGGCGAACGAGCAGCACUUCCGUCGCGGCCUUGAGUGGUGCCUCGCCAACCUGUGGAACACCAACAUGAACGGUGAGCUGAACAUCGGUGCCGGCCGCGUCAUUUUCUAUCGCACCAUUGCAAAACAGAACCGCAACACGCUCCCUCUGUGGACGCUGCAGCGGCACCUCUACGCCUACCACCCGUACGUGUGGUUCGCCAUCGCCUCCGCCUCCAACGCGGAAGCGAUGGAGGCGCUGGCGGAGCGACUUGGGAUGAAGCUAGUGCAGGAUGCGACGACAAGCUACAAGAUCAGCAUCCGUCGUUCUAGUGAGCUGCUCGAUGGGGAGCUGAACGCGCAGCUGCAGUGCACAAAGAUGAACCGGCCGUGGGACAGGUUUCUCGUCACGCACUACGUGCGCUCUCAAAUGCCGGAUCUGCGCUUUCUCGUGCGUGCGCGUCAUCCGAUCAAGAAGCGUAUUGUGGACGCGUACCUUGAGACGGACAUUCUUCGCAGCACUCGAGACUCGGUCCAGUCAGUGCUCUCGCCGGAGCUUGGCGAAGUCUGCUACUGCUGCGAGCGCGUUAUCCGAAAGUGGGCGAUGCGGACGCAGGCUGGCGUGACGCUGCAGCUCGUGGAGACACGACGUACUCCGCUUAUCAUCACCAAGGCUGGCGACGAGGGUGAACGGCUCGAGUACGAGUGGAUUGUGGUGCUCCCUCAGAAAGCGGAGCGUGUCGAUGUCGCGGCCCUGUCGGCGGAGCUGUGGGACUACGGCAAUCUGCUGGCAAGGGAGCUGGAGCCGGGCAUGGAGGAGUUCCUGUCUCACACAAUGACAGCCGCAGCCUCCUACUAAGGUGACCGUGGCUUUCCGUUGCUCUUUGCUUCUAUAGCUGGAUAGAGGGGACAGCGAGACAUGCAGCGGGAUGACGUGAGAGGCUUCGCUGAGGGGGGGUGAGGACAGGCGGGUUUCCAUUCCUCACCUUUCCAUGGCCUUGUUCUUGCAGUCCUAGGAAGAGACGACGAUGUGCUGCAGCUACCCCUCGUCACAGGUGUUCCUUUAUUUCUCUCCCUCUCUCGUUAGAGCCGUCACAGAAUGUAGUUUGCUCUUUCUCUUUUUUUCUUUGUUAGCUUGCCUACUGUUGUGCAUGCGGUUGUCCUCUUGCCUUGUGUUUGCACCUCCCCCUUCCGCUGCAUUGCCUUCCCACCUCAUUCUCUUCCUUCGUGAUACCGCGACACCUUCUCCUCGUGCGUUUGCAGUGGUUUUCUUUCUAAGCUCUUAUCGCUUCUCUGCUGACGUUGUUGUUGUUGCUAGGGGGAGGGGGCGCAUAGCGAUGCACGUGUCUGCCUAGGCGCGAGUCAGGGAGUGCGUCUGUCCGGCAUUGGGUAGCAUAGGGGAAGAGGAGGAGAAACGGGGAAGAAAGCGGAUGCCUCUAAGCUGAGACUCGGCCCAUGGAAGAGCAGCCAAAGAGGGCCGCCGCUGCUCACCCUCCGCCUCAACGAUCACGCACACACGCACGCACAAACCUGAAGGGUCACUUGCUGCGUGUGCGGCUCACGUACAGAUACCCGCCGUAUUUUUAUCGGGCUAGCAUGUGUGUGUGUGUGUGUGUGGUUGAAGGUCAUUUUUCUUUCCGUGGCUAGAGGGAAAGAGAGAGCAAGGCGUGUGUGUUGAUGUGUUUGUACUUUGUGUGCGCUUUUUGUUCUGUGGUUUGUUCGUUUUCUGUUAAGCCACCAGUGGCACUCUUGUCUGUAGGGGAGGGGGCUUAGUGUGUGUCUGUGUGUGUGCGUGGGUCAAUCUCUUGGCGCAAGGUGUAAGUUCAUGUUCUUUCAUGGAUCGCCCGAUGUUGAG